AACGAACGCUGGCGGCAGGCUUAACACAUGCAAGUCGAACGGUUGUAGCAAUACAGCAGUGGCAGACGGGUGAGUAACACGUGGGAACCUUCCUAGGGGUACGGAACAACUCAGGGAAACUUGAGCUAAUACCGUAUACGUCCGUGAGGAGAAAGAUUUAUCGCCCUUAGACGGGCCCGCGUAGGAUUAGGUAGUUGGUGGGGUAAUGGCCUACCAAGCCUACGAUCCUUAGCUGAUCUGAGAGGAUGAUCAGCCACACUGGGACUGAGACACGGCCCAGACUCCUACGGGAGGCAGCAGUGGGGAAUCUUGGACAACGGGCGCAAGCCUGAUCCAGCCAUGCCGCGUGAGUGAAGAAGGCC
Molecule: ribosomal RNA, 362 nt
Filed under: uncultured bacterium
Lineage: Bacteria
Description: bacterial SSU rRNA
Rfam family: Bacterial small subunit ribosomal RNA
Source: RNAcentral